RNAcentral lists this ribosomal RNA (468 nucleotides) under uncultured bacterium. RNAcentral's name for it is "partial 16S ribosomal RNA". It matches the Rfam family "Bacterial small subunit ribosomal RNA", at positions 28 to 507 of the family's 1533-position model. The record is from RNAcentral.
GACGAACGCUGGCGGCGUGCUUAACACAUGCAAGUCGAACGGGAAGGCCCUGCUUUUGUGGGGUGCUCGAGUGGCGAACGGGUGAGUAACACGUGAGUAACCUGCCCUUGACUUUGGGAUAACUUCAGUAAACUGGGGCUAAUACCGGAUAGGAGCUCCUGCUGCAUGGUGGGGGUUGGAAAGUUUCGGCGGUUGGGGAUGGACUCGCGGCUUAUCAGCUUGUUGGUGGGGUAGUGGCUUACCACGGCGUUGGCGGGUAGCCGGCCUGAGAGGGUGACCGGCCACAUUGGGACUGAGAUACGGCCCAGACUCCUACGGGAGGCAGCAGUGGUGAAUAUUGCACAAUGGGCGGAAGCCUGAUGCAGCAACGCCGCGUGCGGGAUGACGGCCUUCGGGUUGUAAACCGCUUUCGCCUGUGACGAAGCGUGAGUGACGGUAAUGGGUAAAGAAGCACCGGCUAACUACGUG